CCUACGGGAGGCAGCAGUGGGGAAUAUUGCACAAUGGGGGAAACCCUGAUGCAGCGACGCCGCGUGAGUGAAGAAGUAAUUCGGUAUGUAAAGCUCUAUCAGCAGGGAAGAAAAUGACGGUACCUGAGUAAGAAGCCCCGGCUAACUACGUGCCAGCAGCCGCGGUAAUACGUAGGGGGCAAGCGUUAUCCGGAUUUACUGGGUGUAAAGGGAGCGUAGACGGCAGUGCAAGUCUGGAGUGAAAGGCGGGGGCUCAACCCCCGAACUGCUCUGGAAACUGUGCGGCUGGAGUGCAGGAGAGGUAAGUGGAAUUCCUAGUGUAGCGGUGAAAUGCGUAGAUAUUAGGAGGAACACCAGUGGCGAAGGCGGCUUACUGGACUGUAACUGACGUUGAGGCUCGAAAGCGUGGGGAGCAAACAGGAUUAGAUACCCGGGUAGUC
This 440-nucleotide ribosomal RNA is filed under the name uncultured bacterium. Its description in RNAcentral is "partial 16S ribosomal RNA". It matches the Rfam family "Bacterial small subunit ribosomal RNA", at positions 338 to 795 of the family's 1533-position model. The record is from RNAcentral.